GGGGGAUGAUCUGUCCUCGGGUAAAGCUCAUCUCUCCAGAUUACAGCAAGGAUGGGAAUCUGAAGCCCACCACAUCCUUCUUUCCAAGUCAAAGAACGUAACACUGAGAGGGCUCUGAGUGCCAGCAUGUGCAGAGUUGGAACCUCCCACUGACAGCCAGAACGAUGAGCCACUCCCGAAGAGCUGCUCCUACUCAGGACCAAUGCCACACUCCAGGAUUCCCCACCUCCCGUGAAACCAGUGGGAGCAUAUGGCAGGCCAGGAUCUGUGGAUCUUUACAGGCUCUGGACACAUGGCGAACACACAUCCCCAGAAAGAGCCCAGCUCCCACUCAGGCAUCACAGAUCUGUCUGCUGUUGCCUGAAAGCCCCUGGAGAAAUCCCACACCCCGGGGAUUUCUUAAACCUUUGAUUAACUGGGAUGCUAUCCUGUACUUCAAAGAAAAGAGGAAUAUCCAAGUAACAACACAAGCUCAUCCCCAGAACCAGGCCAGCUGCAGCUCUCAGGAGGUAGCCACACCCGGGCUAGUGCCACUGGCAGCUGCACCAAAGGUGUAUGAGCGGUCACAUGAUAACCUGAACGCUGAGGCCCAAGGACUGGCAGGUGCUCAGGUGUCGAAACCACAGAAUCCCAUUACCAGGCUCUGUUCUCUGAAGGAACAGUCAAUCUUGAAGAUCUUCACUAAGCAGAGCAUCUGAGGUUUACCGGCUUGAAGACCCAGCAAACUAAGAGUUCAGCAAACCAGAAUAGCCUCUCUGGAGGGCACCCGUGCCUCUGCCGGUGCUGGACCCUGCGGGUCCCUGGUCUAUGAGCUUCCCCAGAAACCCUCCAAUCUCAUCCACGCAGCUGCCAGAAUGAAUGUUCAAAGAUAAGAACCUGAGCACAGUGGCUGGGGGUUUCGCACACCCCUGGGACUCGACCCCAAGCUUCUCCUUCUCAGCACUGCAGCCCAAGCCGCCCUGCCCUUCCUCCCAAUGCCACUACUUGUCACUGCACCUUGGAUUCCAGGCCGGCCCUUCUGCUGCCCUCUCUGAAUGCCCGGCCUCAAUCUAGCCUCCUCCUCAUCCCGCGAGACAUGGCUAAAACAUCACCUCACCCUGGAGGCCUCCCCUGACCCCUAUAAGGGGACAGGUCCCUACAGCAGCCCAGGCUUCCUCUUGAUAAUGUGAAUGUUAAUUACUUUAAUUAAGACUUUAAAUUACUCCUCUAAAAUCUGUCUUCCGUGCUACAACCACAAACUCCAAGAGGACAGGGAUCAGGCUUUCCUUGUUCUCCUGCCCCACUCCCACAGCACAGGGCCAGGAGAUGCUCUGUCAACACUGGCUGCGUUGAACCGAAGUCAUCUCCCCACCGCAGCGCUCUGCACCACACCCAGCACCAGGGCAGGUGCUCCAUGAAGGGCCGCGUGAAUGACUCAACUUCAGCCCCAUAAGGAAUCUGGACAGCACACCACGCAAGUUAAACGCUUCUUUACAACAUAAUGAAAGGCGGACUUGGACUGUACUAAUGAACAUUCCCCAAACCUAGGAAGCUAGAUCUAAAAAGGACUACAAAUGCAAUAAUCACAUGUGAAAUCCAGGACCGAACUUCUUUUUUUUUUUUUUUUUUGAGAUGGAGUCUCAUUCUGUCACCCAGGCUGGAGUGCAGUGGCGCGAUCUCGGCUCACUGCAACCUCCGCCUCCCAGUCUCAAGCGAUUCUCCUGCCUCAGCCUCCCGAGUAGCUGGAACUACAGGUGCAUGCCAGCACGCCCAGCUAAUUUUUUGUAUUUUUAGUAGAGACGGGGUUUCACCAUGUUAGCCAGGAUGGUCUCAAACUCCUGACCUCGUGAUUCAUCUGCAUCAACCUCCUUAAGUGCUCGGAUUACAGGCGUGAGCCACAGCGCCUGGCCCAAACAUUUUUAUAUGUCCACUUAAUAGUUGACUGACAGAAAUAAAUGGUAUGUUUUACACA
Homo sapiens (human) is the source of this 1951-nucleotide long non-coding RNA. Ensembl annotates it as TBC1D22A antisense RNA 1. Its record names the gene TBC1D22A-AS1. The record is from Ensembl. NCBI's taxonomy places the organism in Eukaryota, Metazoa, Chordata, Mammalia, Primates, Hominidae.